GAUGAACGCUAGCGGCAUGCUUAAUACAUGCAAGUCGUGGGGCAGCAGGACUGUAGCAAUCCAGUUGCUGGCGACCGGCAAACGGGUGCGGAACACGUACGCCACUUCCCCUGAACUGGGGGAUCUCCCGGGGAAACCCGGAUUAAUACCCCGUAAUAUAAUGGAGUAGCAUCCCUUUAUUAUUAACGCUUCGGCGGUUCGGGAUGGGCGUGCGGCUGCUUAGGUAGUUGGUUGAGGUAAUGGCUCACCAAGCCUACGAUCAGUAACUGGUGUGCGAGCACGACAAGUCACACGGGAACCGAGACACGGGCCCGACUCCUACGCGAGGCAGCAGUAAGGAACAUUGGGCAAUGGAGGCAACUCGGACCCAGCCAUGCCACGUAGAGGAUGAAGGGCCUCUGGGUUGUAAACUACUUUGAUAGGGGAAGAAACCUGUGAAUUCUGACGGAGUUGACGGUACCCUAGGAAUAAGCACCGGCUAACUCCGUG
Molecule: ribosomal RNA, 489 nt
Filed under: uncultured bacterium
Lineage: Bacteria
Description: partial 16S ribosomal RNA
Rfam family: Bacterial small subunit ribosomal RNA
Source: RNAcentral